Long non-coding RNA from Loxodonta africana (African savanna elephant), 3433 nucleotides. RefSeq lists it as uncharacterized. NCBI's taxonomy places the organism in Eukaryota, Metazoa, Chordata, Mammalia, Proboscidea, Elephantidae. The record is from RefSeq and is a predicted model, not a curated record. The transcript is spliced from 3 exons.
CUCGCCGUCCAGCCAGUUACUCCCGGAAGCGCUGGGACGGGUGGUGAGGGGUCCGGGCCGGAUGGCGCGCCUUAGAGAGGAUGCUGUUCGUGCUGCUUUCCGUGCCGUGUUUUCUGAAAGCUUAAAUACAGACCAGAAGAGGAGUUUGGGGCUUGACACCUGACAUCUUAACACCAGUUCCUGUUUCUUGAGGAAGGAAGAGGUAAAAUAAAUCAGCAUUUACUGUGUCCUUCUCCAUCCCCGGAAGUCUUCAUGAAGACCCUCUCAGCUUCUACUUGAACGUGAAUAUGAGCAACUGAUCAUCUGUUCUGCAGUCAGCCCCUGGCCUGAUUCUGACUCAUGGUAUUGACCUUCUCCAUCAUCACCUUCCACAAAUUUGAUUCCUAUCUAUUCUGCCUGGAAUGGUUCACGAGUAUAGUCACCAUUUAUGUUCCUGACGAAAGGUAUGUGCAAUGAAUAAGUCAUUGGUCUUGCCAAAUUCUAUCAGGUAAGCUUCAUUGUCAUUUCUAUCAUCAAUACCUUAUUUUCCAACUGCUGAUUUGUCUGCUUUGUUUUCAACUUCGCAUUCUAAUUACGUAAUUAUCAGUACAUCUUGAUUGAUGAAUGCAUCACGUUUGAUCAGUUUCAAACUGCGGAACUUGGUAAAAACCUUCAACUUCUUCAUCUUUCACAUUCAUAAUGUGUGUGUAAAUUUGAAUAAUAGUCUUAUUAACUGGUCUUCCUGGUAGGCCUGUGAAUAUUAUCCUAUUGUUCGUAGUGUUCUACUUCAGAAAAGAUCUUGAAAUGUUCUUUUUAUCGAUGAAUAUGAUGCCGUUCUCUUCAGUAUCUCAAUCCUGGCAUAGUAGAACAUAUCAUUGUCUAGUUUAAAAGGUCCAAAACCAAGUUAUUUCAGCUCACUAAUGCCUUGGAUUACUGACCUUUAUGCAUUCCAUUUCAUUUUUGAUGACUUCCAAUUUCCCUAGAUUCAUACUUCCUUCAUUCCACGUUCUGAUUAUUAAAGGAUAUUUGCAUCAGUUUCUUCUCAUUAUGAGUUGUGCCCCAUCAGGAAACGUCAUUAAAGUGGGAUCUACUUUGAGGAGGUAGCUCUUCCCCACUUGUAUUUUGAGUGCCUUCCAACCUAAGGGGUUAUCCUCUGUCAUUCCAUCAGACAGUGUUCCAGUACUAUUUGUAAGAUUUCACUGGCCAGUUGUUUUUAGAAAUAGGUCACUAGGUCCUUUUUCCUAGUCUGUCUAAAUCCAGAGCUCCACUCAAACCAGUCUACCAUCAGUGAACCUGGUGGUAUUUGAAAUACCGGUGGCAUAGCUUCUAACAUCACAGCAACAUGCAAGCCACCACACUACAACAAACUGACAGAAGAGUGGUGGGAGUUAAAAAUGAGAAGAACCAAAAAGAGUGCUUCUUCCAUGUCUGCUGAUUUAGAGGAUCCAUGAAAAAUUGUCAAGUGAAGAGUGAUUCAGAGAAAAACAUGGGUAGAAUGUGACCUAAUUUCCAUAAAAACAAACAAAUGAAUGUACUUACACGUGUCCCGGCAAAAAGAAGUGUGUAAAAGGGUACAUAUGUAUCUUUGGACACUGGACACUUUGGGGGAGCAGGUACAAUAUACUUAUGUGGGGAUGGCUCUUAUUAUCACUUCUGUAUACAAAUCUCUGUUGUUAAAUGUGUUAUAAGAAUGUAAAACCUUUUAAAGUUUAAUAACAUCAUACGUGUGUGUGUGUAUUUGAAACAUUUUUUUUUUACUAUUUUAUAUAUGUGUUUUUUAGUUAUCUAGUGUGGCUAUAGCAGAGAUAGCACAAGUGGACGGCUUUAACAAACAGAAACUUAUUCUCUCACAGUUUAAGAAGCAAGAAGUUUGAAGUCAGGGCGCCAGCUCUAAGAGAAAGCUUUCUCUCUUUGUGGCUCUGGGGGAAAGUCCUUGUCAUCCAUCUUCCCCUGGCCUAGGAAAUUCUCAGCGCCUGGACGCUGGGUCAAAAGGACAUGCUCCACUCCAGGCACUUCUUCCUUGGUGGUAUGAGGUCCCUCUCAUUUCUGCUCACUUUUCUCUUUGUAUCUCAAAAGAGACUGACUCAAGACUCACCCUAAUCCUGCAGAUUGUGUCCUCCCUCAUUAACCUAACUGCCUCUAAUCCUGCCUCAUUAACAUCACAGAGGUUAGAAUUUACAACACAUAAGUAAUCACAUCAGAUCACAAAAUGCAGGACAACCACACAAUACUGGGAAUCAUGGCCUGGCCAGGUUGACACACAUUUUGGGGGACACUAUUCAAUCCAUAACAAUAGAGAAAACACUGUCUUCAAUGCCAGAUUCAGAGACUUUUAUCCAUCUAUGAAGGGCAAACACAGAAAUUGAACAAAAUUCAGACCAGCGAAUUAUUGCUUGCUCUUGUAUCUAAUGACUUCUUCUGGUCUCUAUGCCUCGAAAUGGCCAAAAAGAAUUCUGAGGAUUAAUUCAGUUAUUGCUAAAACAUCUACUGAAUUUGCAUGUCUACAGGUAAGGAAGAAUGCUUGACACCGUGUGUGAUUCAUUAAGUAACACAGGGACCCUUAGACUAUUGUUCUCCUUCUCUGAUAUGCCACUAUCACCUUCUCCCCUUGUUGCUCUCCUGAAAAACCCACACUUGUAUAUUCUAGGCUUUUUUUCAGGAUUGAAUUUGCAGGAAGUUAAAGAUAUAUCUUUGAAAGAUAAAGAAGACUUUGGCCACGUUGUCUUUAGACAGUCGAACUUCCCAGCCAACCUCUGUGCAGGAUGGGAAUUCACAAUCCCUCCUACUCAGUACCUCUGAGCAGGACGGGAUUUCUGUUUCAUUAUCAGGCGACUGUGGAAUUCACCCCUCUUCAGAAAACUUACUUUCCUUUGCCUCAAACUGUCCCUCUCAGGAUCUGUCACGGUCACUGUGAGAAAUUCACAUGGGCAGCCUGUAUGGAAGUGCCCAUCCUAGAGGCCCUGCCCUCCCUUCCUUGCUCCACAGGGCUUCCUCUGACACUUGGGGUCGCAUCUCCCAGGGAGUACACACCUCUGGCACUUCCAGGGAUUCCCAGGCCCUGGGAUACUGUGGAUGGGACUUGGAACUCAAUCUGUUUCUUCCCAUCCUCACCUUUGGUUAUCUGUGUUCUGUCUUCACCAGAUUUAGGAGGCCUUGUCUUCUCUUUGCUCGUUUCAUCUCAGUCAGGCUUUUCUAUUCCAACUCUCUGAUCUCAGAACAGAUCAGGUUAGACCACAGAAAAGAGAAAGACCAAGCAAACAUCACUGAUCUGUGCAGAAGCUGCUGAGAAGGGAUUCGAUUCUCAUUGGUUUAGGGUUUUAUGCCCACUGCUCACCGGCAGGCAGGUUCCCCCCAGAGUCUGGCUUCUGUCUGGUACCUUGUACUACAAAGAACUCAGUGACCAGACCACCUUCACAAUCACACCUCCCUUAGAGCUAUCUUUGCAGAGGCUCUU